Gossypium arboreum is the source of this 257-nucleotide long non-coding RNA. RefSeq lists it as uncharacterized. The record is from RefSeq and is a predicted model, not a curated record. The transcript has 3 exons. NCBI's taxonomy places the organism in Eukaryota, Viridiplantae, Streptophyta, Magnoliopsida, Malvales, Malvaceae.
UUAGAGCUGAACGGCCCGAUCUCCCUAUGAAGUCGAGAAGAAGAAGAAGGAUAUAGUAGCAUACCUGCUGAUGGCUUUGGCAGUUAAAGAGAAGGAUUUUAAGGCCAACGCCAACAUUUUUAUGCAGGGAAACUAAUCAGGGACACUAAUGAGAAAGAGAUGGCGAGAGAGAGGAAAGAAGAUGCAGAGUUGAUGACACGAGGCCUGCUAUCAUAUAUGCAACAUUUGUUAGAAUUAAGUGACCCAAAUUCUUAUUU